RNAcentral lists this ribosomal RNA (482 nucleotides) under uncultured bacterium. Its description in RNAcentral is "partial 16S ribosomal RNA". It matches the Rfam family "Bacterial small subunit ribosomal RNA", at positions 30 to 507 of the family's 1533-position model. The record is from RNAcentral.
AUUGAACGCUGGCGGCAUGCCUUACACAUGCAAGUCGAACGGUAACAGGUCUUCGGAUGCUGACGAGUGGCGAACGGGUGAGUAAUACAUCGGAACGUGCCCUAUCGUGGGGGAUAACGAGGCGAAAGCUUUGCUAAUACCGCAUACGAUCUACGGAUGAAAGCGGGGGAUCUUCGGACCUCGCGCGGACGGAGCGGCCGAUGGCAGAUUAGGUAGUUGGUGGGAUAAAAGCUUACCAAGCCGACGAUCUGUAGCUGGUCUGAGAGGAUGAUCAGCCACACUGGGACUGAGACACGGCCCAGACUCCUACGGGAGGCAGCAGUGGGGAAUUUUGGACAAUGGGCGAAAGCCUGAUCCAGCCAUGCCGCGUGCAGGAUGAAGGCCUUCGGGUUGUAAACUGCUUUUGUACGGAACGAAAAGCCUCUUUCUAAUAAAGAGGGGUCAUGACGGUACCGUAAGAAUAAGCACCGGCUAACUACGUG